Long non-coding RNA from Penaeus monodon (black tiger shrimp), 283 nucleotides. RefSeq lists it as uncharacterized. The transcript has 3 exons. NCBI's taxonomy places the organism in Eukaryota, Metazoa, Arthropoda, Malacostraca, Decapoda, Penaeidae. The record is from RefSeq and is a predicted model, not a curated record.
GGAAAUCAAGAUCUUUACUCGAUAACAAUAAGAAGAAUGGCAGUAUUCGCUCUCAUCAAGAGGAAAUGGCCUUCCAGAACUGCAGCUAUAGACACACUGACCAAUUUUCAUAUGAAAUGCCUGGUGAUAAACUACUUGAAACCCUUCAAGUAUCACAACACCCCAACGAGACUGAAGUGGAUGAAGUAAAAAGGGAAGAACUACACGCGAAAGAAACCACAUAACUAAAUCCUGUAGAGAAGCAAUAGCCCUGAAAGACAACUGCGAUUUUGUUCAUCAGAGC